AUUGAACGCUGGCGGCAGGCCUAACACAUGCAAGUCGAGCGGAUGAAGGGAGCUUGCUCCUGGAUUCAGCGGCGGACGGGUGAGUAAUACCUAGGAAUCUGCCUGGUAGUGGGGGAUAACGUCCGGAAACGGGCGCUAAUACCGCAUACGUCCUGAGGGAGAAAGUGGGGGAUCUUCGGACCUCACGCUAUCAGAUGAGCCUAGGUCGGAUUAGCUAGUUGGUGGGGUAAAGGCCUACCAAGGCGACGAUCCGUAACUGGUCUGAGAGGAUGAUCAGUCACACUGGAACUGAGACACGGUCCAGACUCCUACGGGAGGCAGCAGUGGGGAAUAUUGGACAAAGGGCGAAAGCCUGAUCCAGCCAUGCCGCGUGUGUGAAGAAGGUCUUCGGAUUGUAAAGCACUUUAAGUUGGGAGGAAGGGCAGUAAGUUAAUACCUUGCUGUUUUGACGUUACCAACAGAAUAAGCACCGGCUAACUUCGUG
RNAcentral lists this ribosomal RNA (484 nucleotides) under uncultured bacterium. RNAcentral describes it as "partial 16S ribosomal RNA". It matches the Rfam family "Bacterial small subunit ribosomal RNA", at positions 30 to 507 of the family's 1533-position model. The record is from RNAcentral.